This 73-nucleotide transfer RNA is filed under the name Myotis brandtii (Brandt's bat). It matches the Rfam family "tRNA". From Rfam's summary of the family: Transfer RNA (tRNA) molecules are approximately 80 nucleotides in length. The record is from Rfam by way of RNAcentral. Lineage: Eukaryota; Metazoa; Chordata; Mammalia; Chiroptera; Vespertilionidae.
GCCAAUGUAGCUCAGUGGUUAGAGCAUUGGCCCAUGCACCAAAGGUCUAGGGUUUGAUUCCUGGUCAAGGGCA